UAACUAUUAUAUAGUACUCAGACAAUAUGAACAAACAGAGUUUUAGGUCCUCUGGCGGGCACUGACCAGCCGAAGCCGGUGGUCCGAGGACGGGCCCGCCAAAGCAACAAAGGUAUAAUAAACAAAGGGUGGGAGGUAUACCCCGAAGGGCAACGUCUCUUUAAUGAUCCUUCCGCAGGUUCACCUACGGAAA
This 193-nucleotide unclassified non-coding RNA is filed under the name uncultured fungus. RNAcentral describes it as "sequence contains ITS1, 5.8S rRNA gene". The record is from RNAcentral. Lineage: Eukaryota; Fungi.